Photinus pyralis (common eastern firefly) is the source of this 1182-nucleotide long non-coding RNA. RefSeq lists it as uncharacterized. NCBI's taxonomy places the organism in Eukaryota, Metazoa, Arthropoda, Insecta, Coleoptera, Lampyridae. The record is from RefSeq and is a predicted model, not a curated record. The transcript is spliced from 3 exons.
GAUAAGUGCGCCUAACAUCGCAAACCUUUUACUGGCAGAUUAUUUGGAUUAUUAAUUUUUAAAAACUGUAGGGAUUUUGAGGAUUCAUGCGUUUCGGAAUAAAUGUUUGUCAUUGUCAAUCAAUUAAUUGUGUGUUUAUUCGAAAGUGCGCCCCAGAUAGUUUCUAUUUGCGGAUGUUUCGCGAGUCUCCCAAAUUAAGAAAUUUAGGUCAAUGUUGGGAUUUUUUUAGCAGAUGACGGAAGUAUAGGAGGAGAUAUUAUAUAACACUAAGUUUCAUUUUGAUUUUUUGCAUACUGAACAAUAUGAAGAAAAAAAUCGUCAAUAUCUGGUAUGAUAACGAUACGGAAAGUAAACGGAAAAAAUAGCCACGAUUUCUUAAAAAACCAAAAAAAGCUAUCCUCUGUCGAAAAUAGUAAACUGCAUAGUUCCAAGAGUGAUUUGUGAGGAUAAAUUGGUGUGUUUGAAAUUAAGAAAGUUUCCAAAUGUGAAGCGAAAAACUUCAAUAAAUCAACAAGGGCGUCCAGUUUAUUUCAUUAUCGCUUCACCCGAAAUUCCAUGUAACAAUCGACAUUACUCGACUGCCGAGUUUGGAAAUUUUAAUCCGGCCAAAUAAGUGAGUAUAAUAAAUUAAUCGUAAGUAAUUAAUUGUGUUGCAGCCAACUUCGUUUAAUUAGUCUGUACCUAGUGUUAAAAGAACCGCGCUUAAUUAACACGAAUUUCAAGAUGAAUCCCCGAUUUGUAGGUCAGCAAUCAACCGAAUACCCCGGCCGGCUAGAAGAUCUUACCGGCUUCUCCGUUUUGGCUUCGUGUAAUUUUGGUAAAUUUUGCAUUUGAACAUAGCGUAAUUAAUUCAAGGGAAGCGUUUGAUAUCUUCAUUCCGAUAAGAAUGAAGGGGUUUCGUUGUGCUUGGUUAGUUUUCCCGUAUCUAAUAAGUACCGUUAGUUAAUUUGUGCUUCAGUUACCGCUAAGUAGUCGCUGUCGUGUCCAUGUGCCGUCAUUUUGUUUUAGGUAUUUGCCAGCGACCACCGCCAUUUGCCCCCCCCUCCCCCCCAGAUCUCUAGAGUUUUUCGUAGGUUCCAAAUUUCCGUUCCGAAACCGACGCCCUCGACUAGGAACAAGGGUCGAAACCUCCUGAUGGCGCUCAAGAUUUCCGUACCGUUCCGCCGACCAUCAGAUCUAGGU